Molecule: ribosomal RNA, 375 nt
Filed under: uncultured Sphingobacteriales bacterium
Lineage: Bacteria; Pseudomonadati; Bacteroidota; Sphingobacteriia; Sphingobacteriales
Description: bacterial SSU rRNA
Rfam family: Bacterial small subunit ribosomal RNA
Source: RNAcentral
GACUUACAUCUCUUCGGAGCAUUUUACGAGGUGGCUGCAUGGUUGUCGUCAGCUCGUGCCGUGAGGUGUCGGGUUAAGUCCCAUAACGAGCGCAACCCCUACCUUUAGUUGCCAUCAGGUUAAGCUGGGGACUCUAAAGGAACUGCCUACGCAAGUAGUGAGGAAGCGGGGAGUGACGUCAAAUCAGCAGGCCCUUACGUCCAGGGCUACACACGUGCUACAAUGGCCGAUACAGAGGGCAGCUACCUGGUGACAGGAUGCAAAUCUCCAAAGUCGGUCUCAGUUCGGAUCGGAGUCUGCAACCCGACUCCGUGAAGUUGGAUUCGCUAGUAAUCGCGCAUCAGCCAUGGCGCGGUGAAUACGUUCCCGGGCCUU